GCUCAGAGCGAACGCUGGCGGCAGGCCUAACACAUGCAAGUCGAACGGAUCCUUCGGGAUUAGUGGCGGACGGGUGAGUAACACGUGGGAACGUGCCCUUUGGUUCGGAACAACUCAGGGAAACUUGAGCUAAUACCGGAUGUGCCCUUCGGGGGAAAGAUUUAUCGCCAUUGGAGCGGCCCGCGUAGGAUUAGCUAGUUGGUGGGGUAAAGGCCCACCAAGGCUACGAUCCUUAGCUGGUCUGAGAGGAUGAUCAGCCACAUUGGGACUGAGACACGGCCCAAACUCCUACGGGAGGCAGCAGUGGGGAAUCUUGCGCAAUGGGCGAAAGCCUGACGCAGCCAUGCCGCGUGAAUGAUGAAGGUCUUAGGAUUGUAAAAUUCUUCACCGGGGACGAUAA
This 400-nucleotide ribosomal RNA is filed under the name Caulobacter sp. IGS37. RNAcentral's name for it is "bacterial SSU rRNA". It matches the Rfam family "Bacterial small subunit ribosomal RNA", at positions 22 to 451 of the family's 1533-position model. The record is from RNAcentral. Lineage: Bacteria; Pseudomonadati; Pseudomonadota; Alphaproteobacteria; Caulobacterales; Caulobacteraceae.